UUUCCUACGGGGCGCAGCAGUAGGGAAUAUUGCGCAAUGGGCGAAAGCCUGACGCAGCGACGCCGUGUGAGGGAUGAAGGUCUUCGGAUCGUAAAACCCUGUUGUUAGAGAAGAAAGUGCGUGAGAGUAACUGUUCACGUUUCGACGGUAUCUAACCAGAAAGCCACGGCUAACUACGUGCCAGCAGCCGCGGUAAUACGUAGGUGGCAAGCGUUAUCCGGAUUUAUUGGGCGUAAAGGGAACGCAGGCGGUCUUUUAAGUCUGAUGUGAAAGCCUUCGGCUUAACCGGAGUAGUGCAUUGGAAA
This 305-nucleotide ribosomal RNA is filed under the name uncultured bacterium. Its description in RNAcentral is "bacterial SSU rRNA". It matches the Rfam family "Bacterial small subunit ribosomal RNA", at positions 335 to 632 of the family's 1533-position model. The record is from RNAcentral.